RNAcentral lists this long non-coding RNA (540 nucleotides) under Elaeis guineensis (African oil palm). RNAcentral describes it as "long non-coding RNA (EGUI_LNC023268)". Lineage: Eukaryota; Viridiplantae; Streptophyta; Magnoliopsida; Arecales; Arecaceae. The record is from RNAcentral.
UUGUGGCAUAAAGAUGUUUUCCUAGUUAAGCAGACAAACUUUCAUUUAUCCAGAGGGUUUCAUGAAAACUAAAGAAAGUCCAUGAAACAUAUCCAAUUCAAAAUAUAACUAGAACAAUAUGUUUGUGAACUUCUACUACAGAGUUAUGGUAGUAUGAAGCAAUGAGAGCGAGAAUGGAUUUUCAAUUAUAUAUUUUGCCUCAAUCUUUAAGUCAAGUAGUUUUGUUAGUUUCCUAUGAACCUCUUCUUUUCAUGCAGUGCGCAAUGCAUAACCUUUGACUUAGUAGAAAGUGAUAUGCAAGUUUUACACCCAGAGAUUGUAUAGAAGAUCUAGUUAAUCAAAUAAGUUUUUUCUUUAUUUCUUGAAUAUUAUUACUGAUUUACUUUCGUCCCAAUGCAUGUGGCUCCCACCACUGUGGGAUGUAGGAAGGUUCAAAUGUACAAAGUCUUGCCCCCACGUGUAGAGAGGUUGUUUCUAUGUUUCGAACAUAUGACACCUAGAUCAUCAUGGAGCAACCUUUACCAUUGCAUCAAGGACCAC